This 706-nucleotide long non-coding RNA is filed under the name Brachypodium distachyon (stiff brome). RNAcentral's name for it is "long non-coding RNA (BDIS_LNC005271)". Lineage: Eukaryota; Viridiplantae; Streptophyta; Magnoliopsida; Poales; Poaceae. The record is from RNAcentral.
AUGCCCUGAACGAAUAAAGUCUGUUCUUUCCCCUAAAAAACGUAAACAAAACGAAGUUAUUAUACUUAAAAAAUGUAAAAGAAACGAAAAAGUUUUUUUUUCUUUAAAAAAAAGAGAGGUUCUCCAUCUCUAUUUCUAUUAAUAGAAACCAGCAUGUUCUCCAAGCUCAGGUCUGAAAUCUUUUUUUUUCUCGUAUGGAGCAAACCUUAGUAAGGCAGCAGAGCUGGUUUCAUUUUUUUUUCUUUACCAAGGCUUUUUAUUAAGAAUUAUUAUAUUUGUAUUUAUGUGAUUCAAAUCAUAACAAUAAGCAACUAGUUUUGAGAGCGAAUACAACAUAAAUUGCUAUGGAGUUUUCUUUUGUCAAAGUAAACAUAAUAUUUGAAGUACUUUCUGAUCAAAACCUUGGUGAAACGAAACAAAUUGCAUUAUAUUUUGGAAGAGAAGCAGCAGUACGAAUUUGUUACAACUAGACACAAUUAGACAGUGACCAUAGCAAGAAGAUUGUCAAGUGCAGUGCAAAAAAGAGUUGUCGUACUAAAAUUAUACAUGAAUCAUCGUAAGCAUAGUCAUUCUUUCCUCCCAUUACACACCGGGGUUUGUUGUGAGAGGUUUUCACCAAAUCAAAUGGAAUAAUUGAUAACGUCAAAGUUUAAUUUGAUUUUUAGGUGUUGGUACAAAAUUUAGAAUGAGGAGCGUUUCUUUUAGU